RNAcentral lists this ribosomal RNA (371 nucleotides) under uncultured bacterium. Its description in RNAcentral is "bacterial SSU rRNA". It matches the Rfam family "Bacterial small subunit ribosomal RNA", at positions 527 to 896 of the family's 1533-position model. The record is from RNAcentral.
GAAGGGUGCAAGCGUUACUCGGAAUUACUGGGCGUAAAGCGUGCGUAGGUGGUUCGUUAAGUCUGAUGUGAAAGCCCUGGGCUCAACCUGGGAAUGGCAUUGGAUACUGGCGACCUAGAGUGCGGUAGAGGGUAGCGGAAUUCCCGGUGUAGCAGUGAAAUGCGUAGAUAUCGGGAGGAACAUCUGUGGCGAAGGCGGCUACCUGGACCAGCACUGACACUGAGGCACGAAAGCGUGGGGAGCAAACAGGAUUAGAUACCCUGGUAGUCCACGCCCUAAACGAUGCGAACUGGAUGUUGGGUGCAACUUGGCACUCAGUAUCGAAGCUAACGCGUUAAGUUCGCCGCCUGGGAAGUACGGUCGCAAGACUG